This 240-nucleotide ribosomal RNA is filed under the name uncultured Lactobacillus sp. RNAcentral describes it as "partial 16S ribosomal RNA". It matches the Rfam family "Bacterial small subunit ribosomal RNA", at positions 122 to 354 of the family's 1533-position model. Lineage: Bacteria; Bacillati; Bacillota; Bacilli; Lactobacillales; Lactobacillaceae. The record is from RNAcentral.
UAACCUGCCCAAGAGAUCGGGAUAACACCUGGAAACAGAUGCUAAUACCGGAUAACAACAGAUGAUGCCUAUCAACUGUUUAAAAGAUGGUUCUGCUAUCACUCUUGGAUGGACCUGCGGUGCAUUAGCUAGUUGGUAGGGUAACGGCCUACCAAGGCAAUGAUGCAUAGCCGAGUUGAGAGACUGAUCGGCCACAUUGGGACUGAGACACGGCCCAAACUCCUACGGGAGGCAGCAGAA